GAUAAACGCUAGCGGCAGGCUUAACACAUGCAAGUCGAGGGGCAGCAUAGAUUGUAGCAAUACAAUUGUUGGCGACCGGCGCACGGGCGCGUAACGCGUAUGCAACCUACCCGUCACAGGGGGAUAAUCCGGAGAAAUCUGGUCUAUUACCCCAUAACAUAUGAUCGGCAUCGGCUCAUGUUGAAAUUUUCGGAGGUGACGUAUGGGCAUGCGUAGCAUUAGCUUGUUGGUGAGGUAACGGCCCACCAAGGCGACGAUGCGUAGGGGGACUGUGAGGUUUUCCCCCCACACUGGUAAUGAGACACGGACCAGACUCCUACGGGAGGCAGCAGUGAGGAAUAUAGGUCAAUGGGCGCAAGCCUGAACCAGCCAUGCCGCGUGCAGGAUGACGGCUCUAUGAGUUGUAAACUGCUUUUGUACGAGGGUAAAGUGGGUUACGUGUAACCUUUUGAAAGUAUCGUACGAAUAAGGAUCGGCUAACUCCGUGCCAGCCGCCGCAGUAA
RNAcentral lists this ribosomal RNA (503 nucleotides) under uncultured bacterium. Its description in RNAcentral is "partial 16S ribosomal RNA". It matches the Rfam family "Bacterial small subunit ribosomal RNA", at positions 28 to 523 of the family's 1533-position model. The record is from RNAcentral.